CCUACGGGAGGCAGCAGUGAGGAAUAUUGGUCAAUGGACGAGAGUCUGAACCAGCCAAGUAGCGUGAAGGAUGACUGCCCUAUGGGUUGUAAACAUCUUUUAUAAAGGAAUAAAACGAGGCACGUGUGCCUUUUUGCAUGUACUUUAUGAAUAAGGAUCUGCUAACUCCGUGCCAGCAGCCGCGGUAAUACGGAGGAUCCGAGCGUUAUCCGGAUUUAUUUGGUUUAAAGGGAGCGUAGAUGGGGUGUUAAGUCAGUUGUGAAUGUUUGCGGCUCAACCGUAAAAUUGCAAUUGAUACUGGCAGUCUUGAGUACAGUUGAGGUAGGCGGAAUUCGUGGUGUAGCGGUGAAAUGCUUAGAUAUCACGAAGAACCCCGAUUGCGAAGGCAGCUUACUAAACUGUGACUGACAUUGAUGCUCGAAAGUGUGGGUAUCAAACAGGAUUAGAUACCCGGGUAGUC
RNAcentral lists this ribosomal RNA (460 nucleotides) under uncultured bacterium. RNAcentral's name for it is "partial 16S ribosomal RNA". It matches the Rfam family "Bacterial small subunit ribosomal RNA", at positions 338 to 795 of the family's 1533-position model. The record is from RNAcentral.